This 1147-nucleotide long non-coding RNA is filed under the name Sus scrofa (pig). RNAcentral's name for it is "lncRNA (ENSSSCG00025027432.1)". The record is from RNAcentral. Lineage: Eukaryota; Metazoa; Chordata; Mammalia; Artiodactyla; Suidae.
AUGACUGCGUCAGUGGCAGAGCUCAAUCCAAGUUCCUGUGUCUGGUUUCUGUCUGGAGCCCCAAGGUGCCGGGGCCUGGCCCCUGCCCAGCAGGUCGAGCCUGUGCCCUGGAGGCAGAGCCAACCCUCUCUGCCAACAGGGGGGCUCUUGGCCUCUGCGUCCCUUGGUUUCCUCUUCCUGUGCUCUGCCCGUUUAUGGGGACACUUUGCUGCUGUGAGUUCCAGUAGGAGAAGCCCCUUGGCUCCCUGCCUGACCCCGAGGCACUUAGGUUCGACCUUCCCCUUCACACUGUCCACAUCACAGCCGAGGGUUCGGGUGAAUUUAACCAGAGGAAUUCCUUGAACACCUUGAAACAAAGGCCUGAAGAUCCUGGGACAAUUUCACGCUAAAAUCCUCCUUCAUUCAACAAGUAAUGCUGAUGUUUCAGGCUCUGCGCCCCUGAGGCUCCAGCCCAGGUUGAUGCUGGUAUAGGAACCGAGGUGCAGAGGCAGGUGCCGCCUUGCCUGUCCUGCCGCCUUUAGCUGCCACCUCCCUCAUCCUGGGGGCCACAGCCCCGCCCCAGGAUGCACCCUCUGCAGUCUCAUCCUCUGUCCCCUUCAGCCGGCCCCGCUUGCCCUCCGGUCCCAGUGGCUUUUCCUCGUCCUCUGUCCUCCGUGCUCGCCAGUGAGGUGCCUCUUCCCUUGCGCUGAAUCUACCGCUGCGCCCCAACAGCUUCCUGAGGCCCUCAGGUGAGACUCCGUGUUCACUAUUCAUUUAUUAAUUAGUCAAUUCACCAACCACCUGCACCUCGUACCCCGCCUAGAGACCACACGGCACUGGGGCAGAGCCUAGACUCUGCAGUGAGACCGAGUUUAAAUCCUGGCUCUGCUCUGCUACCGACUAGCUGGGAAACCUCGGGAGUGUUGUUUUCUUCUAUGCGCCCCUGUCUCCUUCUCUAGAAAAUUCGGGAUAGUCAUAUUACCUACUUUACAGGGUUCCGAGGGGGCUCAGGGGUUAGGAGGGUGCUUUACGCACAGGCAUCCUCACCGCUAGCCCCGCUGCUCGUCGUGCUCAGUAUCAGCUAAUGGACCGUCGCUGCUGAGGUCCAGCACUGGGCCUGGAGCCGGCCUGGGUGGUGAACGGUGCAGAUGUCCAGCAAAUACAGGGA